AGCAAAACAACGCAUAACCCACAUAGCGAGGCUCAUACACCAACAAGCCAUAGAUCAGGUCAACAGGCACAUGACCAACCUAAGGACGACGAAUUAUGUUCAGGGCAACAAAGCCAGCAAACUAUUAGCACUCCGCCUAAAACUCAAGCAAACAAACCAAAAGAUUCACCAUUUACUAGACCACAAAGGGACAAAGGUCUCAACCCCAAAAGGCAUCAGUGAUGUAUUUG
Molecule: non-coding RNA, 230 nt
Organism: Pelobates cultripes (western spadefoot toad)
Lineage: Eukaryota; Metazoa; Chordata; Amphibia; Anura; Pelobatidae
Source: the annotation of a GenBank genome assembly